CGGGCGUUACGAUGAUGGAAGGACCUUGUUUGUCUUUCUCAGUCUAGCUCGGGGAUCCAUCUUCGGAUGGGUGCC
Regulatory RNA element from Lactobacillus selangorensis, 75 nucleotides. It matches the Rfam family "L17 ribosomal protein downstream element". NCBI's taxonomy places the organism in Bacteria, Bacillati, Bacillota, Bacilli, Lactobacillales, Lactobacillaceae. The record is from Rfam.